GCACUACAGGUAAAAAGGUUCCAUAUCUAUUUUUAGUCUUCUCUAAUAACAAGACCUAAAAGACAACACUCUCGUCAAAUGAGUCUUGAGGAGAGAGAAUACCCAAAUUUGGAUUAUGCUUCUCCUGAUACCCAAAAUGAAUCAGUAUUCUGUUAGAGGCUAUAAAGUAUUGCGUUGAAGAUCUAUUUUAGAUUUAGGUUUCUAAAUAGUUCUCAUGUUAGAGACAACCUAAGUACAAGCCUCAUGAUAACGUAACACACCCACCCGGAAAGGAACUGUUUUUUUUCUACAAAGCUCUCUGGACAUUCCUCUGGAUUAAUGCAGUUGCUUCAAACUCCUAUCAGGCUCAUGUGUUUAGCCUAUUCGCACAUUUUUAUUUCUUGUGCUUACAAGAGUGAGGACCGUGAGUAUUUGAUCAGUGGGGAUCUAGGGUUUUAGUUCAGGGUAAUGCCGUUCAAAAAAAUAUAUAUUUAAAUUUGGUAAAAUCAUUUGGCAAAUUCAGUAACAAUUGAAUUUUUUAAUAUAAUACGGUAUAUCCGCACUAAAUAGCAAAAGUGUUAAAUUUGAUGAUUAAAUUAAAAACAUCUCCAAAUUAUAAUAUGAAUAAUUCAAACUUACAAUUAGGGGAAAGAUUUAAAGUAGCACUAGUCGACACCUUCUUUAUGCAUGCUUUUGGAAAAAGAUGCAGUGUCGUCCUCGGCUCUCUGCUCCCUUUAUUAUAGAGGGUGUUUGGCACUCCUCUGCUCCGCUCCACGUUUUUUAGCCAAACGGUUUCAGCUCCACGCACUGUUCGAAAAAAGGGUGGAGUUGUGAGAGCACCUAAAUAGGUACUCCACAAACUCCAGUUUUUUGUGGAGCUGCUCCAUGGUGGGGUUUGUGAAGUAGAGUUUGUGGAGCAGUCCAAACACCCCCAUAAUACUAAAAAUACAAUGCGUGAGAUGACGAUGAUCAAAAGUGAUUGAGGAAACAAGUUAAAUGUUAUCAAGCGAA
Molecule: long non-coding RNA, 990 nt
Filed under: Sorghum bicolor (sorghum)
Lineage: Eukaryota; Viridiplantae; Streptophyta; Magnoliopsida; Poales; Poaceae
Description: long non-coding RNA (SBIC_LNC018173)
Source: RNAcentral